This 315-nucleotide ribosomal RNA is filed under the name Triticum aestivum (bread wheat). Its description in RNAcentral is "partial small subunit ribosomal RNA". Lineage: Eukaryota; Viridiplantae; Streptophyta; Magnoliopsida; Poales; Poaceae. The record is from RNAcentral.
AUCCAGUCCAUCCUCGUCCGUAUCAAGGGAAGGCUUGCGGUCUGGAAGGGAAAGCUCAUGUCAAUCGCGGGAAGAAGAGUGCUCGUAAGGAGUGUCCUCAGCACGCUCCCAACUUUUGCCAUGACAGUGCUCAAAGUGCCAAAGAAGUUUUAUACUGAAGUUGACAGGGUUAGAUGAUAAUUUCUAUGGGCCCAAGAAGAAGAGAUCACCGGCGGCAAAUGCAAGGUCAGUUGGUCUGUUUUAUGCUCGUCAAUCGACAAUGGGGGCCCGAGGAUACCAGAUUUGCAGCGAUUGGGCAGAGCCAUGCAUCUGUGA